GAGAGUUAAACAGUACGUGAAAUUGUUGAAAGGGAAACGAUUGAAGCCAGUCGUACCUUCGGGUAAUCAGCCUUUCGGGUGCGAUUCUGUGGAGUUUGAGGAGCUUAACACCUUCAUGCUUUGCAUAUUCGUACUCUUGGGUGUACUUGCCCGUGUGGUUGGUUAACAUCAAUUUCGGGCACCAUAAAAUGGCUGGAGGAAUGUAGCUUCGAUCUUGUAUUGAAGUGUUAUAGCCUUCGGUAGAUGUGGUGAUCGAGAUUGAGGAUUGCAACGGAUACCUUUCGGGGCUACCUGUCUGAUCUCUGAUCGUUGCUUUGUUGCUGAAAGCGUGCUUAUAGUUAUCAAAGUCGAUGGUCAAUAGGUUAGAAUGGGUUAAAUUCGUUAAGGAUGUUGACGUAAUGGCUUUAAACGA
RNAcentral lists this ribosomal RNA (412 nucleotides) under uncultured Rhizophagus. RNAcentral's name for it is "partial 28S ribosomal RNA". Lineage: Eukaryota; Fungi; Glomeromycota; Glomeromycetes; Glomerales; Glomeraceae. The record is from RNAcentral.